UUAGAACGAGUGUUUGGACUUAAUACCGGUUUUCAUAAUGCCUGUAAUUAUUUAAGUGCAUUUUAAGGCUAACGAACGUUCGCUAAUGGCGUUUGAAGGAACAGCACGGGUUCUCUUUAUUUUUGCCAUACUACACGUGGCAGGUGCCGUCACAACCUACACAUGGGGUUCCUGGGGUGACUGGGGAUCUUGUAUCAGUAACUGUCCAGACAGCAACACCGGCACGAAAACCCGCACUAAAGAAUGCAUCGCCCAUAUCACAACGGCAAACCACACCACCACACAUUCAGUUGUAUACAUCCACUGCGGCAUCUCGACCCAUCGUCACCAGAACACAAACUGCAGUGUUACCU
Long non-coding RNA from Mya arenaria, 353 nucleotides. RefSeq lists it as uncharacterized. NCBI's taxonomy places the organism in Eukaryota, Metazoa, Mollusca, Bivalvia, Myida, Myidae. The transcript has 3 exons. The record is from RefSeq and is a predicted model, not a curated record.